AGAGUUUGAUCCUGGCUCAGGAUGAACGCUGGCGGUCUGCUUAACACAUGCAAGUCGAACGGAGUAGAAAUACUUAGUGGCGGACGGGUGAGUAACGCGUGAGAAUCUGCCUUCAGGACGGAGACAACAGUUGGAAACGACUGCUAAGCCCCGAUGAACCGAAAGGGAAAAUAUUUAUAGCCUGAGGAUGAGCUCGCGUCCGAUUAGCUAGUUGGGGGGGUAAAGGCCCACCAAGGCGACGAUCGGUAGCUGGUCUGAGAGGACGAUCAGCCACACUGGGACUGAGACACGGCCCAGGCUCCUACGGGAGGCAGCAGUGGGGAAUUUUCCGCAAUGGGCGAAAGCCUGACGGAGCAAGACCGCGUGGGGGAAGAAGGCUCUUGGGUUGUAAACCCCUUUUCUCUGGGAAGAAAGUUGUGAAAGCAACCUGACGGUACCAGAGGAAUCAGCAUCGGCUAACUCCGUGCCAGCAGCCGCGGUAAGACGGAGGAUGCAAGCGUUAUCCGGAAUGAUUGGGCGUAAAGCGUCCGCAGGUGGCAGUUCAAGUCUGCUGUCAAAGACCGGGGCUUAACUUCGGAAAGGCAGUGGAAACUGAACAGCUAGAGUAUGGUAGGGGCAGAGGGAAUUCCUGGUGUAGCGGUGAAAUGCGUAGAGAUCAGGAAGAACAUCGGUGGCGAAGGNNCUCUGCUGGACCAUAACUGACACUCAGGGACGAAAGCUAGGGGAGCGAAUGGGAUUAGAUACCCUAGUAGUCC
RNAcentral lists this ribosomal RNA (755 nucleotides) under uncultured bacterium. RNAcentral's name for it is "bacterial SSU rRNA". It matches the Rfam family "Bacterial small subunit ribosomal RNA", at positions 8 to 796 of the family's 1533-position model. The record is from RNAcentral.